This 24-nucleotide non-coding RNA is filed under the name Arabidopsis thaliana (thale cress). The record is from RNAcentral. Lineage: Eukaryota; Viridiplantae; Streptophyta; Magnoliopsida; Brassicales; Brassicaceae.
UUAGUAUAGUGUCAGACCGAGACA